Dioscorea cayenensis subsp. rotundata (Guinea yam) is the source of this 192-nucleotide long non-coding RNA. RefSeq lists it as uncharacterized. NCBI's taxonomy places the organism in Eukaryota, Viridiplantae, Streptophyta, Magnoliopsida, Dioscoreales, Dioscoreaceae. The transcript is spliced from 3 exons. The record is from RefSeq and is a predicted model, not a curated record.
CCAAAUCCUGUGCUUCUAUUUGUUGGAACAACUAUAAAGACAUUCCAAGGAAUAAUCUAUAUAGCUUCAACUUCAGCUACGAAGAUCUAUAUCAAUUUGGAUAUUCCUGAGACAAAAGCAAUACAACAACAACAAAAGCUUGGAGAACAACCAGUGCAAUUACUAGCUUUUUCAAGUGAAAUUCCAAAUAUG